GUGCAGCAGGCGAGAAACCUUUACAAUGUCUUCACGGACGAUAGGGGAAUCCUGAGUGCUCUAGCAUUGCUAGAGCUUUUGCUUACUGAAAAAGGUAGGCGAAUAAGUGGUGGGUAAGACGGGUGCCAGCCGCCGCGGUAAUACCCGCGCCACAAGUGGUGACCACGUUUAUUGGGUCUAAAGCGUUCGUAGCCGGCCUGAUAAAUUCUCGGUGAAAUCCUGUGUAAAUCAUAGGGCGUGCCGGGAAGACUGUCAAGCUAGGAACCGGGAGAGGCUGAGGGUACUCCAGGAGUAGGGGUUAAAAUGCCGUUAUGGUUUAACCCUACGGUUUAACAAUCCUGUAAUUCUUGGAGGACCACCGGUGGCGAA
RNAcentral lists this ribosomal RNA (369 nucleotides) under uncultured microorganism. Its description in RNAcentral is "bacterial SSU rRNA". It matches the Rfam family "Archaeal small subunit ribosomal RNA", at positions 330 to 670 of the family's 1478-position model. The record is from RNAcentral.